GACGAACGCUGGCGGCGUGCUUAACACAUGCAAGUCGAACGGAAAGGCCCUGCUUUUGUGGGGUGCUCGAGUGGCGAACGGGUGAGUAACACGUGAGUAACCUGCCCUUGACUUUGGGAUAACUUCAGGAAACUGGGGCUAAUACCGGAUAGGAGCUCCUGCUGCAUGGUGGGGGUUGGAAAGUGUCGGCGGUUGGGGAUGGACUCGCGGCUUAUCAGCUUGUUGGUGGGGUAGUGGCUUACCAAGGCUUUGACGGGUAGCCGGCCUGAGAGGGUGACCGGCCACAUUGGGACUGAGAUACGGACCAGAAUCCUACGGGAGGCAGCAGUGGGGAAUAUUGCACAAUGGGCGGAAGCCUGAUGCAGCAACGCCGCGUGCGGGAUGACGGCCUUCGGGUUGUAAACCGAUUUCGCCUGUGACGAAGCGUGAGUGACGGUAAUGGGUAAAGAAGCACCGGCUAACUACGUG
Molecule: ribosomal RNA, 468 nt
Filed under: uncultured bacterium
Lineage: Bacteria
Description: partial 16S ribosomal RNA
Rfam family: Bacterial small subunit ribosomal RNA
Source: RNAcentral